GUUCAGCUCAGAAAAAAUAAAUUUCAGUUAAAGCUACGAAGAAAAGCAAUUUCAGUACUCCAUCCAUGGUAGAGAAAGAACAACUCAAGUAUGAACGAAAACGAGAACUUCAUUAAAAGAAAAGCACAUUACAGCAUGUUACAAAGGCCUACACUACGGGACGAAAGACUAUCCUUAAAAGCUUUACAUAGCCACAUGCAUCAUCAUCAACAAUUACAUCGUUAUCACCUAUCCUACUACUUCGGCCUUCGGUCCGGAGAAACUCUCGCAGCUCGAUAUGUGAGUUUGGCAGAAAGAGCUGCAGAAAGCCAAGAAGUUAAUCCUCAUAAGCGUUUCCCAUGGACCCUCUGUAGGACGGC
RNAcentral lists this long non-coding RNA (359 nucleotides) under Manihot esculenta (cassava). Its description in RNAcentral is "long non-coding RNA (MESC_LNC001009)". Lineage: Eukaryota; Viridiplantae; Streptophyta; Magnoliopsida; Malpighiales; Euphorbiaceae. The record is from RNAcentral.